GGGGCUGUGGCGCAGUUGGGAGCGCGCUUCCGUGGCACGGAAGAGGUCGCCGGUUCGAACCCGGCCAGCUCCACCA
This 76-nucleotide transfer RNA is filed under the name Gammaproteobacteria bacterium. RNAcentral's name for it is "tRNA-Ala". It matches the Rfam family "tRNA". From Rfam's summary of the family: Transfer RNA (tRNA) molecules are approximately 80 nucleotides in length. The record is from RNAcentral. Lineage: Bacteria; Pseudomonadati; Pseudomonadota; Gammaproteobacteria.